Molecule: long non-coding RNA, 1065 nt
Filed under: Salmo salar (Atlantic salmon)
Lineage: Eukaryota; Metazoa; Chordata; Actinopteri; Salmoniformes; Salmonidae
Description: lncRNA (ENSSSAG00000119744.1)
Source: RNAcentral
UGUAGUUUAGACAAAACAGUCAGCUAGCUAGCUAGCACAUGUCUGACAACAACAGUGGGCCAUAGCAAAACAUCAUCAUACCCCUGCACAUUGACUCGACAAAGUGCGCAGUUGGGUGCCAGACUGAUCCCCUUGUCAUGAACGGAUGCCGGAACCUACCAGAAGUAGCAAAGGUUUUACGUACUAGCCAAGCUGCUGGGAGAGCGCAAUGGUUCUCUUUUGAUAAGAUCUCACAAGUAACCUCCUCCGUUGUUGCCAGAGUCUCCCUCGACUCCUGUGAAAAGGACACGCCAUCAUGAGGCGUCUGAUAGUGACUCGAGUUACUUCUCUUUUGACACAUACGGCUUAAUCAACAACGACAGAUUCAUCUAUGGAGCCAGCACUUGGAGACUUACAAGAUGGAAAGGACUGUAGAUGCUUUUUCCAAGACUCCUUCCUCUGUUGUUUGAUGGGGAGACCAUUGGAAACAUGUAUGGCGCCAGCACGUGCAGACUUGCAAGAUAAUGUGAUGAAGUCCAGACUGACACACGGGCUUGAUGGUGAUGUCUCUGAAUGGAGAGAGACCUGGCACUCAGCAUUCAAAUUUAAGUAGACAACUUUUACUUGUAUUGUGUUUUUUAUUAUUGAAUUGAAUGAUAUCAGUCAAUAUGGGGUGGGAAAAUCCCUGUGUAUUCUGCACCAGCAUCAGGGAACUCCUGUUGUAUAAGGGACACCACACAGGAAGGUAUGACCACUCUGUUCGCCAAGGCCCUUUACCACCAGGCAAAAUGUUGAUAGGCACAGUAUCUGUAUCAGCUGGGAAUGACUACGGAAGGUGAAAGGUGCACAUUGUUUCUAUAGUAUUAUGUAAAGGGUUGUUUAUUCUAUAUGGACCUGUUUCUACAUUUGAAAGGUAUCAAAACACUUUGUUUAGAAUAUCUACAUAAAUUCAGCAAUUGCAUUCUCCUCAUAUUACUCUGCAGGUUACAGACCUAUUCAAAGCUUCCUCCGACAUCUGCCUAUAAAUAUUGAACUCAACCUGCAGGAUGUUUGUUUGUUGUGAUUGAGAGGGGGGAAACAGCUGCG